Molecule: long non-coding RNA, 528 nt
Filed under: Nicotiana benthamiana
Lineage: Eukaryota; Viridiplantae; Streptophyta; Magnoliopsida; Solanales; Solanaceae
Description: long non-coding RNA (NBEN_LNC006727)
Source: RNAcentral
AUUUUUCUUUGCCAUGUGUUGCUAAAAAUGCAGCAAACAACAACAACAAACAAUUCCACAAAGUGGAUCUGCAAGGAGUAUAAUGUACAAAGAUCUUAUCCCUAUAUAGGUUCAAAUUUGGCAAUCACGACCAUUAUCGAGUAGGACAAGGAACGAGGUUAUCGUGAUGCACCGUCUGUUGGUCGUCACAGUGAAGGCCAAAGACCAAGGGCGGUCAGUCAAUACACGGCGUCCAUAAUAGUGUAAACUUAGUAGGAGACAGUAAGAAUAUCCCUUUCGAAUAUUUUCUAUGUUUUACCUUUUAGGGUUUCUUGGGAGAUUGUCCAUUAUGAAUAGGAAGAGUGCGCAAAGAAAGAGGGAACCGAACAAAAAAGACAAAAGAACACUUUGUAAAAGAAUCAUCUGAGUGUGAAUACAAAAGACGCCUUGUUCAUUGAAUGCACAAAAAGUUUAUACCAUUACAUAAUAUAGAGAAGAUCAAAAGAUUUCUCCAUCAUCCCAUGUUUAUUGCUUCUCUAUGCCGAUUGC